RNAcentral lists this ribosomal RNA (1163 nucleotides) under Madrepora oculata (zigzag coral). RNAcentral describes it as "12S ribosomal RNA". The stretch from base 112 to 1154 matches the Rfam family "Bacterial small subunit ribosomal RNA". Lineage: Eukaryota; Metazoa; Cnidaria; Anthozoa; Scleractinia; Oculinidae. The record is from RNAcentral.
UUUUUUUUAAGAAGUUAGUUGAUAUUGACAUUUGGUGGCUGUUGAAUGGUUGUUUUUAUAUUUUUGUGUGUAUUGAUGAAGAAGUUAACUCCUUUGGUUUUGAGAAAAAAGAGGUUGACUCCUUUGGUUUUAGGGAAAAAAAAGCUUUUGGUCUGGGUUAUACAUGUUAGUAGAUGCGAACAGGUGAGGGUGAAAUAAAAAUAUGCAAUUGAAGGAGUUGUUUUUUUUUAUUUGUUGUAUUAGGUAAAAAAGGUUUAGUUCUUUUUUUCCGAAGAUGCAUGGUAAAACCACAUUUUCACUGAUACAAGGGGAAACUUUUGGCAGCAGUAGAGAGUUUUAUGCAAUUCAUGAAAGUGAGACAUAGGUAGAACAUAUAAACCUGUCAAAUUAAGUGCCAGCAGACGCGGUGAAACUUAAGGGUUAGUUUUUUUUUAAAAAGCAGAAAGCGUGUAGAAGUAAUAUAUUUUAAAAAGUAAAUAGAAUUUUUUUGGUAAUUGUUGAAUGUUAAGAUGAAAAAAGGAAUUCUUUAUGUGAAAACAAUUUAUUUUAAAUAUUUUUUAUGGGAAGACAAAUGUAUUUUUUAUAUGUUCUCCUCUAAGUAAAAUAAAAAUGUUGAAUUCUUAAACACGAAGGUUCUUGGAGCAAACAGGAUUAGAGACCCUGGUAGUCGAAACAGUAAAUGAAAUUUCUUUUGUUGGAUAAUAAGUUAUGAAAUUGCUUGAGUAGUAUGAUCGCAAGAUUAAAAUUCAAAAAACUUGGCUGUUCAUUGUAAAUUAGAGGAGCGUGUCGCUUAAUUCGAUAAUCCGCGAGUUACCUUACCGAAGCUUGUUUUCAGGUGUUGCAUGGCCGUCGUCAAUUUAUGUUUUAAACAAAAAUAAAUUUAAUCCUAUAAAGGUUGAAGUCAGGUAUUAUUGCCCUUAUGUUUCGGGGUUAGAUGCGCUACAUUUUUUUUUUUUAAUUUUAAAGAAAAAGUCCGGAUUGUUUUUGAAAAAAAAUAAGUAAGUGGAAUUUAAUAGUAAUUGAAAAGUAGAGCGUUUCAAUGAAUUUACCGCAAUGUUAGUACAAAUUGCCCGUCGCCWCUAUUGAAGUAGAUAAAAUAGAGUAAGUCGUAACAUAGUAAGGGUGGGGGAACUGGCCCUUGGAAAUAAGAUUAAAAAUAUAAA